UUCCAUUAGAAUUUGCAGCCCAUUUUUCGGCGAUCCAGCAUCUCCGAUCUUCGUCGUUACGUUUUCAUCUUCCUUAACUCCUUCCAAGUUCCAACAAUGGCUUCCUGAAUCCAGCUCCAUCGUCUCCAUAGUCAACCUCAAAGAUCACAGAAUGGAGCUUGCUCUUUCCAUCCUCUUCCUCUCUCUCAACUUCUCCUCUUUUCUUCGUCCUGCUACUGCUGGAGGCGGCCUUCAUACUUCCUACCCUCCAGGUUGCCCUUGUUGCAAAUUAUCCAUGGGAUGGCACUCAGGAUAAAAGGUAAUCAAAACUGCCCUUGUCUUUUGAUCUAAAUUAAAUUACAGGAAAGAUUAUUUUGCAUGUCCAGACGACGAGACAUUCCAGUUCUUAGCAAGUGUAUAUAGUCGCUUCACUACAGUACGUCAUUGAGCAAGGAAUUUGAGGGAGGGAUUACGAAUGGUGCUUCCUGGUAUGAUGGCUUGAAACAUUACAACUUAUUAUAGGUUCAAGCUAGCGGAGCAUUGGCACAUUAAUUACCUUCGCAUUACCAUCGCUUGCUUGCCCCCGCCGGAAGAUAUGAAGUCACAGCUACUGCAACUGGGUAUAAAUCAAAGACGACAUGUAUCUGGUUGGAAGAAGCAGGCACGACAAAUGGGGAUUUUGUUCUCGAUCCUGAAGUCAAUCCCAGAGGAAUUCAACUUCAAAGUGCCUGUGAUUGCAGCUGGGGAAGUAUGAGCAUCAUUUGGGGAACCCCUUUCGAAGUGUACCUGCUUUUGAUUGUUAUUGUAGGUUCCUUUUGUUUUUAUACAGGAGGAGGACAUUCAGCCGAUUAAAACAAAGGCAGUUAGUAGGACCGAAAAGACCAGUUUGUGGGGGGGGAGAAGAUAGGUGAGAGAGUACAGGGAAACACCACCCAGGAAAGUGCCAUUAUGGUCACCCGCUAUAACUCUGGCUGGAUCUUCAAAGGCAACUCGAGUCCAUUGAGAAAUCAGAGAUACCUCUAGACCUCUGGCAAUGCUUAUACAUCUCAACUUUUGCCACAUUUCUGUACACUUCAAUCCAACAGCUCAGAAUCUUAAACUAUUAGGCAAUUGAUUAGAUAUUUGCUAUUUUCAAUUGAAACCGGGUUUCAAUUUUUCGAACGCAUCAUCGUGUUUGGCACCCCAGUGUUACAAUUUUCUGGGAUUGGGAUGCCAAACCCCACCCAAGUCAGUCUCCCCAUACGAAGCCGUCAUCAAGCGUUCAAUACUGCAGCUUCGUCUUUUGGGCUUGUUCAGCAUAUGCUUGUGUAUGUAAACCGAAAUGCAUUGAAUUAUGCUCCACAAGUUGUUAGGGAAAGGAAAGAGAGCAACAGGGUUGUGAUUAAGGCUGGUGAGUCCAAUGGGUUUUGGGAGGAGAUUUUAUACUAAUGAAAAAUUUGUGAAUGAUUUUAGGCAGAUUCAUGAGAGGGAACAUGUGAACAGGUUGAAUCAGAUUGAGACUGCUAGAGGGAGUUCGGGGGUGAAUUUGGUGGGUAAGUAUUCAAUGAAGAUGGACAAGUGAAAGAAUGCUUCAAGGGAUGUCUUGACACCCAAGGUUGGGCGUGGUUUAGCGGACUAAGGUGAAGCGGCAGGGGUUUUGGUUUUGGAUGUGUUGGAUACGCUACAGGGGAUGGAUGUUGCAUUGAGAAAUCAUAGGAGAGUUGAGUUUGUGAUGUUUGUGUCGGAUAAUCAAGGUAUUGUGGAUGUUGCGAUGGAGGCGAAGUUGAGAUGUAUGUCUGAAGAUGGUGGUUGUGGCGGAUUCUAGCUUUUCUUGGAAUGAAAUGUUGAGUAGAAAGGUUAAGAAGGAGGCUGUUUCUGGUUGUGGGGAAACGGAAAGACCAUCACAUGUUGAAGAUAUUGGACUAGACAUACAAGCCAGAGGAAGAACAAAGUUUGCAUAACUGGAAUGGUGAGGUUGAUGCUGAGAGUGAGGACGAGCAAAUCAAAGUUUUUGUUGGUGUGUGUGUGUGUUUGCGCUUGCAUGCGUGUGAAUGAAAAUUUGUGAAGGAUGAUACUGGCAGAUGGAUGGUGGGAGCUUGACUCGGGAUGCUGAGGCCAUUUCACCACAAUCAUGUCGAUGACACACGAAUCUUUCUGAAUCCUGGUUGACGAUCAUGUAUGCUACUGAGCCUGUGAUUUUGAUCAGUCAGGUAAGUUCGCUUUCCUCUCCUUAGCUACUGUACUAGUGCUUCAUGUUAAUGUCAUCACAACUACUGUCCUUGAAGAAAAUGGAGCAUGUAUAUGUUAUUUACCUUAUUUCGCGCACAAUAAAACACAGACGAAAGACACAAGGAAAAUUUACUUUGUGGAGCUUUCCAUUUGUGUUAUGCGGUAAAUAUGCACCAUAUGUUUGUAGAACUUCAAAGUGACAAAGGUUGUGCAUUGAUCUCAUUAUAUACUUUGAUUCAUUU
Pyrus x bretschneideri (Chinese white pear) is the source of this 2429-nucleotide long non-coding RNA. RefSeq lists it as uncharacterized. The record is from RefSeq and is a predicted model, not a curated record. The transcript has 4 exons. Lineage: Eukaryota; Viridiplantae; Streptophyta; Magnoliopsida; Rosales; Rosaceae.